This 85-nucleotide transfer RNA is filed under the name Stachyamoeba lipophora. RNAcentral's name for it is "tRNA-Ser". It matches the Rfam family "tRNA". From Rfam's summary of the family: Transfer RNA (tRNA) molecules are approximately 80 nucleotides in length. Their secondary structure includes four short double-helical elements and three loops (D, anti-codon, and T loops). Lineage: Eukaryota; Heterolobosea; Gruberellidae. The record is from RNAcentral.
AGAGUGGUCGAUUAGUGGUCUAUAUCGUUGGUUUGCUAAACCAAUUUACCAUUAGGUAACGUGGGUUCGAAUCCCAUCCAUUCUA